Long non-coding RNA from Dicentrarchus labrax (European seabass), 1290 nucleotides. RefSeq lists it as uncharacterized. NCBI's taxonomy places the organism in Eukaryota, Metazoa, Chordata, Actinopteri, Moronidae. The record is from RefSeq and is a predicted model, not a curated record. The transcript is spliced from 2 exons.
CGCAAACACAGUUAAGGUUUGAUGAGAGGAGAGAAGGAGGGUCUUUAUAUAUUGAACACUUAAAGAGAGAAGACUAGCUGCAGAGAAAAGAUGUGCUGGCUGCCGAUAGAUCAGCCUUUGCUCCUGCCCGGUGACUCCACCUGCAGCGGCCGCCGACCCUCGCCGUGCUCCGUGGCUCAGCUGCUCGCGUCGCGCCUGCGGAGGGUCGGGGACCAGCUGGAGAAGAGCUGGACGGCCGGGGAGACGGACGGAGGCUUCGGCUGUGGGGGCGGUGGGGCGAUGGUGGUGACCGCCGGGCGAGGCCACCUGAAGAGCUUCCUGUGCACCGCAAUACACUUCACCGUGCUCGCGCUGGUCGUCGCGAGGCGACACCUGUAGGGCGCGAGGCGGCAACACCAGCAACAGAUGCUGCCUCUGGGACCUCGGGCUCACAUCAUUUGCACUAAGAGCAAGGGAUGCAGGAGAGUCGGAGGAUGCGGUCCAGGAGAAGGUGUGACCGACGGAGGAAGAGGAAGCGGGGGUUAAAUGCGUGUUUCAGGGUGGGGGACCUUAAACUCCAUAUGUCAUGAAGACUCAACUCAGGCCCGAUGUGGACGCACUGCGAGUUUCAUAAGGAGCUGACGCACUGAACCCCAGCACCAGCCCUGCAGCCAGUCAGUUGCACGUCCUGCCCCCCACCCUCACCCCUCCCUGCGUGACUCUGAGAUUCAGUCAUCCCAGUUACAAAACGGUGAUGUAAUCCUCCCCUGGUAGAGUGGAGGGAAAAGCUUACUAAUAGGACGCCUUUUGAAUUUUCACCUCCCACGAUGUGCAUCAAUGACAAAAGGGGUUAAACUGAUUAGACCUUCAAAAUGUAUCUAAGGCAACAAAGAUUGCAGCAAUCCUGUGAAAUGCACUGACAUAGACCUGUGUAUGAGCUUCAUAAUGCACUGUACUUUUUUACAUAAGCUAUACUAGUGUACAUAUGUCAACAAUGCUUGGAUGAAUGUUUUUAUAGAUGUUUUCUACAGUGUUUAGACAAUGUUUACACAUUCUCCUGUGCUUUAACAUUAUCUGUCAGGGGCAGUGUUAUGUGGCUUUUUAUCAUAAAUAAGAUACAGGACCUGUGCAUAGGAAGCUAUGCUGUUAAUGCUGUCUGUGAUUUCUGGAAAUAAGCUUUUCUCUGAUAUAUCAAGUGUAAUGUGAGCAGAAUUAUUGAAACGGUCUUUUAUAAAGUGUGUGCUAUUUAUACUAAUUAAAUAUUUCAUAUGGAUUUUUAGUAGUUAAAAUAAUAAAAUCUUUUGAAAUGAA